This 29-nucleotide non-coding RNA is filed under the name Bombyx mori (domestic silkworm). Lineage: Eukaryota; Metazoa; Arthropoda; Insecta; Lepidoptera; Bombycidae. The record is from RNAcentral.
UGAAGAGUAUAUAGGGUAUCACCGCCGAU